CUACGGGUCGCUCCAGUGAGGAAUAUUGCACAAUGGGGGGAACCCUGAUGCAGCAACGCCGCGUGGAGGAUGACGCAUUUCGGUGUGUAAACUCCUUUUAUAUGUCAAGAAAAUGACGGUAGCAUAUGAAUAAGCACCGGCUAACUCCGUGCCAGCAGCCGCGGUAAUACGGAGGGGUGCAAGCGUUACUCGGAAUCACUGGGCGUAAAGGACGCGUAGGCGGGUUGGAAAGUCAGGUGUGAAAUCCUACAGCUUAACUGUAGAACUGCACUUGAAACUUCUAAUCUAGAGUAUGGGAGGGGGAGAUGGAAUUAGUGGUGUAGGGGUAAAAUCCGUAGAUAUCACUAGGAAUACCUAAAGCGAAGGCGAUCUCCUGGAACAUUACUGACGCUAAGGCGUGAAAGCGUGGGGAGCAAACAGGAUUAGAUACCCCUGUAGUC
RNAcentral lists this ribosomal RNA (440 nucleotides) under uncultured bacterium. RNAcentral describes it as "partial 16S ribosomal RNA". It matches the Rfam family "Bacterial small subunit ribosomal RNA", at positions 339 to 795 of the family's 1533-position model. The record is from RNAcentral.